Molecule: ribosomal RNA, 497 nt
Filed under: uncultured bacterium
Lineage: Bacteria
Description: partial 16S ribosomal RNA
Rfam family: Bacterial small subunit ribosomal RNA
Source: RNAcentral
GAUGAACGCUGGCGGCGUGCCUAAUACAUGCCAGUCGAGCGAACGGACGAGAAGCUUGCUUCUCUGAUGUUAGCGGCGGACGGGUGAGUAACACGUGGAUAACCUACCUAUAAGACUGGGAUAACUUCGGGAAACCGGAGCUAAUACCGGAUAAUAUUUUGAACCGCAUGGUUCAAAAGUGAAAGACGGUCUUGCUGUCACUUAUAGAUGGAUCCGCGCUGCAUUAGCUAGUUGGUAAGGUAACGGCUUACCAAGGCAACGAUGCAUAGCAGACCUGAGAGGGUGAUCGGCCACACUGGAACUGAGACACGGUCCAGACUCCUACGGGAGGCAGCAGUAGGGAAUCUUCCGCAAUGGGCGAAAGCCUGACGGAGCAACGCCGCGUGAGUGAUGAAGGUCUUCGGAUCGGAAAACUCUGUUAUUAGGGAAGAACAUAUGUGUAAGUAACUGUGCACAUCUUGACGGUACCUAAUCAGAAAGCCACGGCUAACUACGUG